AGGGGGUGUCCUGACAGGAGCCGGGCCCUGAGGGCGGCGGGGCGCGGUGUGGGCUCGGCACCGGGGGGGUUUCACCGCCCACCCCCCCCCGGCCUGGCCGCCAUUUGCUGGGCGGGAGCCAUGAGGGGAGGGCGGCGGCUGGCCCGGGGGGGCGGCUGGGGUGGAAGCCCCGGUCCUCAACCCAUCGGCAGCGGCUUAAUUAAAGGCAUCGACUUAAUUAGAAGCACAUCGAGAGCCUUUACAGGAGCUGUCGUCCAGCACGGAUGCGGCAGCUGUCCCUGUCCCCGCUUCCUGUGCUGGGGGUGGCAGCGGGGUGGUUCCUGGGCUUGCCCCUCUCCGCCUCGCUCCGUGCUCUGGCUGUGAAGCGCUCGGAAAUAACGAGGCAAGCCCGAGGGAGACGGGAAGCAUGACUGCACAAAAGGGGCUGGAGGGGCCGAGCAGCGAAAUACUCCCCUUGGGAGAGCUGUACGCCAGCUAGACCCAGCGUAUUUCCAGCCACAUGCAAAGCAGACAGUUGCUAAGGCAGCAGACUGCCGGGGCAGAUGAAGUGUGGCCCCGCUGCUGAAACAGGGCCUGGGAGCCAGGGCUGCCCCAUUGUUAUGUCCCACUCUUGGGGGCAGUGGGGUCUGACAGCCCCCCGGCAGCCCCGCCGGACGCCUGGGUGGCGGCAGGGGCUGUAAAGCCCUGGGCACGCCUGCCCCUCAACCCCUCAUCCCUCAGGGAGCACAAUUCAAUUUGGCCUUCACAUUUGAAAGAGCACUGGCGCCAGGGCUGGGUAUCUUGGCCUUCGUUUUGCAUAGGGCAGCCUUCGCGUGGCGUUUAAAGAUGAAUUAAUAGUUGAUAAUGCUAUUUAUUGUCUGCAUUUGAGAGCUAGCCUUGAAAGUAAAAGGAUCCCUUCUUAAUGCGUUAUGUAAUCACUGGAGGAAAAAAGCUCUAGAGAACAGUUCAUGCAUUUUUCUCUGGGCUAUCAACUCAAACUAAUUCUGUAGAUUUUUGAUUAGCAAUAAGCCUUAUUCAAGAAAUCUGUGUACAGUGACAAGUCAGUCCAGUGCUGAUGGAAGUUUUGUUCUCAGAAUGUAUGGGAGUCUCUGGGAGGUUAUAAACCCUAGAGCAGAGGAAGAGGAUAAGACUAUUUCAGCAUUUCCUGUACUCAAAAGACCCUUAUCUCUAGCUUUUGGAAUUUGUCCUGCCUUUUUCACAAAGCAACCCCCAGGUCACCUGGGGAAAGAAAAAUGUGUAAUGAGCAAGAGAGAAACAACUAAGAGAGAAAGUGCCUUGUUCACAACUAAUAGGUCUACUCUCAAUUAGGUGGGGUUUGAAGUAAACAAGGAGGAUCUGUGCUGUGGAGUGACUGCUGCCAAGAGGUUACAGGUCUCUCAGUUCACUUAGACCACCUCUGGGGAAAGCCAGAACAAUUACACCUCCUAGCAUUGAUCAGACAGGUGGAAAGACUUCUAAGACUUCUGUGUUUUUUCAUAUAACCUACAUUUUACUGGUGUCUUUUUGCUCAGUUAAGAAAGACAACAAUGUAUCUUCAUUUAACUAUGUAUAUCAGUAAAAGCCCUGAUAGUUUUGGGGGAGAAACAAAACAUUUUCUUCUAUUCAAAACUCAUGAUUAUCUCUGUGAUCAAGGGUGAGAUUCUUUUUUUCCAGUAGCCCUAAAAUUAGUACCUCUGUGUAUGAUCGCACUGAGGUCUGUGAAGUUUACUAGCAAUUUCUGUGGGUAGGCAAGGUAGACCAAUUUUGAGAAUUUAGAAAGCAUUUCUGUUGAUGUUAGAAGCAUUACCACUGACAGGCUGGAAACACACUGGUGUGCCACUUAGUCCACUGUCUUAUUUCCAGCAAUAUUUUUUCUCUCACAGGAACGCAGAACAAUUGACCAUAUAGUAACAUUUUCUGUUUAACACCCUGAGGCUGAAUUAUGUCUCAUUAGUGCUUGUAAGUACAAUAUAAUAAUCUAGAGUCCACCAAGAAAACAGGUGGAAAAAUUAUUACUUGAUAGGGAACAGAGAAAUUUAUAUAGAUAAGCAAGAUGAGAACUUACCAUUAAGCAACUUAGUUCAUGCUGAGUCUUCUGUCUUCUUUCCUGUUUUUGACUUUCUAAAGCUUUUGAGUGAAAGGCUCCGGUCUUAGUAAACUGCUCUAGAAAAAGGAGACAGGGAUUAUAAGAAGCAUGCCUGAAGAGUUAAGGUUUUUGCAGUCAUGUUUAUUCAGGAGGAAGAAUUAAACCGGGCACUUCUUCUCAUCUUGCAUGUGAAAGCAGGUUUGGCAAGAAGCUGUCUGUCUUUGGGUACCAAAAUGCAUUCUGGCCACUACAGAUUAGUUUAGUAUCAUGAAAUCAAUAGAACUGAAAUUGUACCCCAUGAGGAAAAAAAAAUCAAGCUUCUCCACAUAUACUGGCAACUCCCCUCUCUGGAAUGGAAACUGUAUCCAAAUGUCUUAGGAGAUAAUUUGGCCCUAGGAAACUAUUCAACUUUAUUGAAGCAAAAUAUUUCUUUUGUCUAAAGACAAUGACUCUUCUGGCUUGUAGAUGGUCCAUAUUUAAAGAUAAGAAGUUAUCUGUCCAUAUCAACUUCAGUUUUUAGUAUUUGGGUUGCAAGAGAAAAAUUUCAAGCUGGAUAAUCGACUUUUUUUUUUCUGAGUAUGAAUACUGAUUGUUACUUCUAAAUAGUAUGAGUAGCCAUCAAAAGCUUAAGAGCAAACAUGAACUGGAAUGAAACAAAGUAAUCUAGAAUUCUACAGCAUUUACAUGAGACAAUGUUGUUAUCUCUCAUUAAAUAACGGAUGAAAAUUACCUGCUUGCAACAAAGCUAAAUAGAAUUUGGGAUUACAGUUUUGGAUACACACUGGUCAGUGAAAACAAACCAAAAAAAGAGCAGAGAGAAUAAUAUUAAUUUCCCUUCUCUCAAUGAAACAGAAAAAUUGCUCUGCUGAAAAACAGUCUGGUGGUUUCACUGUGAAAAAUGUUGAGACUGGCACAGCAGAAUCAAGUCUCAUUAGCACAUUCCUGUUCCUCCACAUCCGAGGAUCAAACCAGCUUUAUGAACAAAACAGGCCGGAAACUGGCAACCUGGCUGCAAAGGUUUCUCCCCAACAAAGACUGGCAUCUAGUUCGUCCUCGACAAAGAUGAGCAGUGACUGCAAGAGGCCCUUUGGAGAGGACCACAAUAUGUACAUCCAUGUGUGAAGAACUGGGGACACAGGAGUAAGAGCUCAUGCGAGAUGCAACGUACAAUCCUCUGCAUGCCAUUUCCAGGAGGAAGAAAAGGCAAGAAAAGGUCACUUUAUAUUUAUACAAGAGUUGGUGUGUUAACUGCAGCUGAAAAUUUUGCUGUUCUCCUAGAAAAUACACCACAGCUUAGGCAUUAAAAGACCACCAGAGGACACUAUGGUGCCACUUACAUUCAAAAAUUAUUUACUUUAAGAAACUUCUCACGUUUUAAAGUUACUCAUAACUGUAUUUGGUGCAUCAAAUAGACAUUUUCUACAAAGAUGCAUUAAACUCAUCUUUAGACAGUGAAAAAUCACCAACUUGUUUUCUUUUUCCCCUCAAAUUCAGGUUCUGUACAUUCAAAUAAGAAGAGAUGGAUCAAUUUUUUCUCUACUAAAACUGCUAAAUAUUGCAGUAAUUUUCAGGGUAGGGUUAAGAUGCUGGAAAAAUACUGUUCAGGGUUUGUUGCAUUUUUUUCCUUUUUUUUUUUUUUUUUUAAUGAGCAUUUUUCAGUUCAGUUACAUUUUUAGCAUGGAUAGAUUUGUUGUGAUCUAUUUCUUUUUAAUAAAAGGCUCAAAGAAGAAACUGAGCACAGGCUUACCUAAGAUUCUUUAGAUGUUCUGAGUUUAUCUACAGGAGGAUACUCAGGAAAAUUAAUCCAAAUGGGCUUUUCAAACCUGUAUUAAACUUUUUUUUCAAAAAUUUUUAUUCAUACUAAAGGCACCUUCAUUUGCUUUGUCUGGCAAAACUUGCCUUAACUUCAGUUUUAAUCUUAGCUAUUUUAAAACCUAUUUUGUUUCUCAGAAAAACCCAUGGGGGAACUUGAAUUCAUGCUUUCUUGGCACUGUUUUUCUUUCAUUGCACUUUGGACUCCAUGGGUGAAAGACAUGCUUUAUAAAAAUACUGAGACCAGAUGCAGAGAAAGAAUUUCAGAGAAAACUACUUACCCAUUAGAGGGGUGAGGAUUAGCCCAGUGAAGGUUACAAAGCAACCUGGGGAGAAUCAACAGAAACAGAGCAAAAUCAAGCAUCUUCUCACUUGGUUCUGGUCGUCAAGGCCUUUCUUAUAAACAGCAACAUUUAUGUGAUGUAAGCUAAACGAGGAACUUCAUGUAGCAACUUUUACAACUUUUACAACAGAUUUUUCAUGACAGGAGCUGCUGAGCCAAGUCUAAGAUCUUCUCUAGGGUCACAGUUUUAAGGAUAUGAUGCAUGCCAUAAGGGUUGUUUGUUGAUUUUGCUUUGAAUUAAAAAAAAAAUCAUAAGUGGCAAUAAUUUCUCAAACAGCAUAAACACUGGGGAAAGAAUUGGCGCCUUUGCAAUUUGAGUGCUAGGAAGUGAAACAGUCUGUGAGCAGCUCUCAUCUGUAAUGCUAGACCAAGAGACUGAGAGAUUUUAGCUGUCACCAGAGAUUCUGACACCUAUGAAAUACAGAACUGAAACAAAAAUGCUUCCUUUUUUUCCACAGAAUUUUGUUUUUCCUCUGAUAUAAAUUAUAUAAUCAACUUAUAAAUAAAUAUGAUGGUUAAUAAAAGAUUUUACUUUCAUCUGGUUUAAAAAAAAAGAAAAAAAAGGAAAAAAAUGGAAAAAAAGGCAAAUUAAAGGAACACCAAACACCCACCACCACCUCAUGGUGUCCUGUGUAGUUGUUAGGCUUGUAAGUAAUCUAUUAAGUUAAAAAAUAAAACCAGAUUAAAGAAUAUAUACAGUUUUUAAAAUACUGACUCAAGCCUUCCAAAAUGACCCAAGAAACAUUAUCCCAUGUCAGUCUAUCCUGAACGCAGCUCUGGAAAUCCACUAACAUACCUUUCUGGGUCUGUGAAUUAAAUCCAACAAAUCUAAAGAGCAAAUUUGAAAGCCACUUUGUUUUGUUUUGUUUUGUUUUGGGUGGGGGUGUUAUGUGCAUGUUUGUAGAUUAGAUGUUUUUCGUUUUCAGAAUCUGAAGUAAGUUGAUCAUUUCCAUAUGUGUAAAUCCAGGUAAGGACAAACAGACAAACUGCUGCUUCCAAUAGCAAA
This is a non-coding RNA of Anas platyrhynchos (mallard), 5226 nucleotides long. The record is from RefSeq and is a predicted model, not a curated record. Lineage: Eukaryota; Metazoa; Chordata; Aves; Anseriformes; Anatidae.